AGGUCCAAAUAUCCAGUUGCAGACAAUACAAACUGAGUGUUUCCAAAGUGCUCUAUGAAAAGAAGUGUUAAACACUGUGAGUUCAAUGCACACAUCACAAAGCAGUUUCUGAGAAUGAUUCCAUCUAUUUUUUCUACGAAGAUAUUCCCUUUUCUACCGUUGGCCUCAAAGCACUUGAAUUCUCCACUUGCAAAUACCACAAAAAGAGAGUUUCAAAUCUGCUCUGUCUAAAGGAAGGUUCAACUCUGUGAGUUGAAUACACACCACAAAAAGAAGUUACUGAGAAUUCUUCUGUCUAGCAUUAUAUGAAAAAUCCCGUUUCCAACGAAGGCCACAAAGAGGUCCAAAUAUCCACUUGCAGAUUCUGCAAAAAGAGUGUUUCCAAACUGCUCUAUGAAAAGAAACGUUAAACUCUGUGAGUUGAACGCAAACAUCGCAAAGUAGUUUCUGAGAAUGACUGCGUCUAGUUUUUAUACGAAGAUAUUUCCUUUUCUACCAUUCACUUCAAAGCGCUUGAAGUCUCCCCCUGAAAAUUCCACAAAAAGUGUUUCCAAUCUGCUCCGCCUAAAGGAAGCUUCAACUCUGUGAGUUGAAUACCCACAACCCAAAGAAGUUACUGAGAAUUCUUCUGUCUAGCAUUAUAUGAAGAAAUCCCGUUUCCAACGAAGGCCUCAAAUACAUCCAAAUAUCCAGUUGCUGACUUUACAAACUGAGUGUUUCCAAACUGCUCUAUGAAAAGAAAGGUUAAACACUGUGAGUUGAACACACACGUACCAAAGUAGUUUCUGAGAAUGAUUCUGUCUAGUUUGCAUACGAAGAUAUUUCCUUUUCUACCAUUGGCCUCAAAGCUGUGAAAUCUCCACUUGCAAAUUCCACAAAAAGAGAGU
This 887-nucleotide long non-coding RNA is filed under the name Homo sapiens (human). RNAcentral's name for it is "HSALNT0312919". Lineage: Eukaryota; Metazoa; Chordata; Mammalia; Primates; Hominidae. The record is from RNAcentral.